CUGGCUCAGGAUGAACGCUGGCGGCGUGCUUAACACAUGCAAGUCGAACGAAGCACUUCUACGAUCCCUCGGGGUGACGAGUUAGUGACUGAGUGGCGGACGGGUGAGUAACGCGUGGGUAACCUGCCUUAUACAGGGGGAUAACAGUUGGAAACGGCUGCUAAUACCGCAUAAGCGCACAGUACCGCAUGGUACAGUGUGAAAAACUCCGGUGGUAUAAGAUGGACCCGCGUCUGAUUAGCUAGUUGGUGAGGUAACGGCCCACCAAGGCGACGAUCAGUAGCCGAUCUGAGAGGAUGAACGGCCACAUUGGGACUGAGACACGGCCCAGACUCCUACGGGAGGCAGCAGUGGGGAAUAUUGCACAAUGGGCGAAAGCCUGAUGCAGCCGACGCCGCGUGAGUGAUGAAGUAUUUCGGUAUGUAAAGCUCUAUCAGCAGGGAAGAUAAUGACGGUACCUGACUAAGAAGCACCGGCUAAAUACGUGCCAGCCGCGGC
This 498-nucleotide ribosomal RNA is filed under the name uncultured bacterium. RNAcentral's name for it is "bacterial SSU rRNA". It matches the Rfam family "Bacterial small subunit ribosomal RNA", at positions 19 to 518 of the family's 1533-position model. The record is from RNAcentral.